AUACGUAGGGGGCGAGCGUUGUCCGGAAUGAUUGGGCGUAAAGGGCGCGUAGGCGGCUUUGCAAGUCAGUAGUGGAAGUCCAUUUUUCAAGGAUGGAAGUGCUACAGAAACUGCGGAGCUUGAGUGCAGGAGAGGUUAUCGGAAUUCCCGGUGUAGCGGUGAAAUGCGUAGAGAUCGGGAGGAACACCAGUGGCGAAGGCGGGUAACUGGACUGCAACUGACGCUGAGGCGCGAAAGUGUGGGGAGCAAACAGGAUUAGAUACCCUGGUAGUCCACACUGUAAACGAUGAAUGCUAGGUGUAGGAGGUAUCAACCCCUUCUGUGCCGCAGUAAACACAGUAAGCAUUCCGCCUGGGGAGUACGGUCGCAAGAUUAAAACUCAAAUGAAUUGACGGGG
RNAcentral lists this ribosomal RNA (397 nucleotides) under uncultured bacterium. RNAcentral's name for it is "partial 16S ribosomal RNA". It matches the Rfam family "Bacterial small subunit ribosomal RNA", at positions 523 to 918 of the family's 1533-position model. The record is from RNAcentral.